AACGAACGUUGGCGGCGUGGAUUAGGCAUGCAAGUCGAGCGAAUCCCAGCAAUGGGGGAAGCGGCGAAAGGGGCAGUAAGGCAUGGGUAACCUACCCUGGGGACUGGAAUAGCCCUUCGAGAGAAGGGGUAAUACCGGGCGACGAGCAGACAGGGCAUCCUGUUUUCUCCAAAUGAGUUUCGCCCUGGGAGGGGCCCAUGUGAUAUUAGCUAGUUGGUGAGGUAACGGCUCACCAAGGCGAAGAUGUCUAGCGGGUGUGAGAGCACGACCCGCGCCAUUGGCACUGAGAUACUGGCCAAACACCUACGGGUGGCUGCAGUCGAGGAUCUUCGGCAAUGAGCGCAAGCUUGACCGAGCGACGCCGCGUGUGCGAUGAAGGCCUUCGGGUUGUAAAGCACUGUCGAGAGGGAGAAAGGGAAACUUGAUCUAUCUCUGGAGGAAGCACGGGCUAAGUUCGUG
RNAcentral lists this ribosomal RNA (459 nucleotides) under uncultured bacterium. RNAcentral's name for it is "bacterial SSU rRNA". It matches the Rfam family "Bacterial small subunit ribosomal RNA", at positions 29 to 507 of the family's 1533-position model. The record is from RNAcentral.